Molecule: ribosomal RNA, 484 nt
Filed under: uncultured bacterium
Lineage: Bacteria
Description: partial 16S ribosomal RNA
Rfam family: Bacterial small subunit ribosomal RNA
Source: RNAcentral
AUUGAACGCUGGCGGCAGGCCUAACACAUGCAAGUCGAGCGGAUGAAGGGAGCUUGCUCCUGGAUUCAGCGGCGGACGGGUGAGUAAUGCCUAGGAAUCUGCCUGGUAGUGGGGGAUAACGUCCGGAAACGGGCGCUAAUACCGCAUACGUCCUGAGGGAGAAAGUGGGGGAUCUUCGGACCUCACGCUGUCAGAUGAGCCUAGGUCGGAUUAGCUAGUUGGUGGGGUAAAGGCCUACCAAGGCGACGAUCCGUAACUGGUCUGAGAGGAUGGUCAGUCACACUGGAACUGAGACACGGUCCAGACUCCUACGGGAGGCAGCAGUGGGGAAUAUUGGACAAUGGGCGAAAGCCUGAUCCAGCCAUGCCGCGUGUGUGAAGAAGGUCUUCGGAUUGUAAAGCACUUUAAGUUGGGAGGAAGGGCAGUAAGUUAAUACCUUGCUGUUUUGACGUUACCAACAGAAUAAGCACCGGCUAACUUCGUG